Molecule: ribosomal RNA, 242 nt
Filed under: uncultured Staphylococcus sp.
Lineage: Bacteria; Bacillati; Bacillota; Bacilli; Caryophanales; Staphylococcaceae
Description: partial 16S ribosomal RNA
Rfam family: Bacterial small subunit ribosomal RNA
Source: RNAcentral
GCGGACGGGUGAGUAACACGUGGAUAACCUACCUAUAAGACUGGGAUAACUUCGGGAAACCGGAGCUAAUACUGGAUAAUAUAUUAAACCGCAUGGUUCAAUAGUGAAAGACGGUUUUGCUGUCACUUAUAGAUGGAUCCGCGCCGCAUUAGCUAGUUGGUAAGGUAACGGCUUACCAAGGCAACGAUGCGUAGCCGACCUGAGAGGGUGAUCGGCCACACUGGAACUGAGACACGGUCCAG